This 647-nucleotide long non-coding RNA is filed under the name Homarus americanus (American lobster). Its description in RNAcentral is "uncharacterized LOC121866006". Lineage: Eukaryota; Metazoa; Arthropoda; Malacostraca; Decapoda; Nephropidae. The record is from RNAcentral.
CGUAUUAUAUAACUAUUGGUGACAUUUCCAGAAAGCUUCAAGGACCAACAACACAUCUUGGUAUGACAAGUUCAGACUCGACUGCACAGACCCGUCCGGCCUAGCACCCGACGCCGUUAACGGAGAGACGCCGCCGACCCGCGGGAGGCACUUUCUCCAUCACUGCCUAAAGUGGACCCGAUGUGAACUAGAAUGAAGUUGGCUGGACAUAAAGUUAACUGGACUAGAAGUGGACAGGACCUGAAGCUAACUGGACCUCAAGUACUCUGUGAAAGCUUCAAGGACCAACAACACAUCUUGGUAUGACAAGUUCAGACUCGACUGCACAGACCCGUCCGGCCUAGCACCCGACGCCGUUAACGGAGAGACGCCGCCGACCCGCGGGAGGCACUUUCUCCAUCACUGCCUAAAGUGGACCCGAUGUGAACUAGAAUGAAGUUGGCUGGACAUAAAGUUAACUGGACUAGAAGUGGACAGGACCUGAAGCUAACUAGACCUCAAGUACUCUGUGGUAUUGUAUUUAAUAUUGUUGUGGUACUUUGAAUGUUAGGAAAGUUCUACGGGCAUUCCCCAAUUUAUAAGAGUACAGUCGGCCCUUCACAUACGCGGGUUUAGCAUUCACGGAUUCGCAAAUACGCGGAUUGCCC